AGCGAACGCUGGCGACAGGCCUAACACAUGCAAGUCGAACGGAUCCUUCGGGAUUAGUGGCGGACGGGUGAGUAACACGUGGGAACGUGCCCUUUGGUUCGGAACAACUCAGGGAAACUCGAGCUAAUACCGGAUGUGCCCUUCGGGGGAAAGAUUUAUCGCCAUUGGAGCGGCCCGCGUCUGAUUAGCUAGUUGGUGAGGUAAAGGCUCACCAAGGCGACGAUCAGUAGCUGGUCUGAGAGGAUGAUCAGCCACAUUGGGACUGAGACACGGCCCAAACUCCUACGGGAGGCAGCAGUGGGGAAUCUUGCGCAAUGGGCGAAAGCCUGACGCAGCCAUGCCGCGUGAAUGAUGAAGGUCUUAGGAUUGUAAAAUUCUUUCACCGGGGACGAUAAUGACGGUACCCGGAGAAGAAGCCCCGGCUAACUUCGUGUCAGCCGCCGCCGUAA
This 449-nucleotide ribosomal RNA is filed under the name uncultured bacterium. RNAcentral describes it as "partial 16S ribosomal RNA". It matches the Rfam family "Bacterial small subunit ribosomal RNA", at positions 29 to 523 of the family's 1533-position model. The record is from RNAcentral.